GGUGGUUCUCAGGUGAUGCACCCCAGAAUCUGGCUCCCUUCUUUCUGAUUCCGGAUGCAUCACCCAAGAAUCGCA
Myotis brandtii (Brandt's bat) is the source of this 75-nucleotide non-coding RNA. The record is from Rfam. NCBI's taxonomy places the organism in Eukaryota, Metazoa, Chordata, Mammalia, Chiroptera, Vespertilionidae.